Molecule: non-coding RNA, 676 nt
Organism: Pelobates cultripes (western spadefoot toad)
Lineage: Eukaryota; Metazoa; Chordata; Amphibia; Anura; Pelobatidae
Source: the annotation of a GenBank genome assembly
CUCGAACGUCCGAUAUCCUGCGGAACGAGACCAGGCAAAGCAGAACUGUGAGUUUUGCUGAGAGUUGGCGGAGAGAGAGCCUGUCGUUAGGUGGCCAGUCCCUCAGGUACCCCUGAAAGCGUCUAAGCCACCAGAGUGAGACGAUUGUCCAAAAUGAGUGGAUGGGGGUUGCCUUUAGGAUCUGUGAGAUUGUACUGAUGAUGAGGUAGCAGGAGGGGAUUUUUGUAUGAUAGGGCUAGGAGCUCCGGGAACCAUGGCUGUCCCCUCCAUAAUGGAGUGAUGAGCACCAGAGAGGUUUGUUGACAUCUCAAGUAGAGGAUGGUUCUCGCUAUCAUGGCAAAGGGAGGGAAGGCGUAUGCUCCCUUGUUCGGCCAUGGUUGUAGGAAUGCGUCUACUGCUUUGCUCUCCGGGGCUGGGAGCCAGCUGAAGUAUAGUGUUGUUUGUCUGUUGUUGCGGGACGCAAACAGAUCCAGGUGAAGCGGACCUCGACGUUCCGCUAUGCCGUUGAAGAUCUGUGGAUCUAUUCUCAAGUCGCUGGUGUCCCGCCAGUGGCGUGAGAACCAGUCCACCGUGAAGUUCGUCUCCCCUGGGAGGUAUUCCGCUGUGAGGGAGAUAUUGCGGGGUAGACAGAAGUCGAAGAUCUCCUUCGUUAUUUCCGACAGAAGACGGGAGCGGG